RNAcentral lists this long non-coding RNA (1223 nucleotides) under Vigna radiata. Its description in RNAcentral is "long non-coding RNA (VRAD_LNC004608)". The record is from RNAcentral. Lineage: Eukaryota; Viridiplantae; Streptophyta; Magnoliopsida; Fabales; Fabaceae.
CAAAGUGGGUCAAAUUAAAUUAAAGUAGUUAAAGAUUCUUCUCUUCUGAUGGGGGAACAGUUGGGAAAACUAAAAUCCAGGAAGGUACAUGAUGAGAUACGAGAGGUGCAGGGAGAAGCACUCUCGUUCCUAUCACAUAUCCAUCAAUGCAUAAUUCAAUCCCAGAAAUGCAUCAUCAACAACACAAACAUCAACCACACUUUAACUAUUACUCAAUCUGUCAUAUCUAAGUUUAAAGAAAUGAGAACCAACCUUGACGCCUAAGCCAACUUGAUGUGAACCAUGAGAAGACGCCACCACCACCACACCACCACCAAACGAGGUUGAGGAGAGUUCUAUGAGAAUGAAAUACACACUCUGAAAUUGUGAGAACUCAAAUGAGGGGGAGUGGAGGAGGGGAGGCAACACUCGGAGAGAGGAGAAAGGGGGUGUAGAGUUUUGGAAUAUGAAAUGGGGUAAGAGAAAAUGGGUUUUUGUAGAAUGGAUCAAAUUAAAAGAAAACAGUUAAAGAUUCUUCUCUUCUGACAGAGGUACAAUUGGGAAAAUUAUAAAACAAUUAUGUGCAGGAUGAGAUAUGUGAGAUGAAGGGAGAAACACUCUCGUCUCAAUCACAGAUGCCGCAAUACACAAUCAAAUCCCAAAAAUGUAUCAUCAACAGAACCGAACAAUAACACAAUCAUCAACCACACUUCAACUAUCAUAAAAUUUAUCAGAUCUGGCUUAAAGAAAUUGGAACCACCCUGAACGCCCAAGCAAACUUGAUGUGAACUGUGAGAAGACAUUGUUAACAAAUUGGCAAGCGUACCAAAUCGUACAAGUAAUAUAAAUGGUAAGACCAAGUAUCGUUUUCCUAAGAGACUCGAAAGGCUUUCUCGUUCACGUGAAUUAAAAUAAUAAGACUUGAAAAUAAAAAUUAAUAAAUUGGAUUUGAGAACAAAAAUAUUAACAUGCAAAAUAAAGUUGAUUCAAUUGACAAAAGAGAACAAUGGAUAAAUGGAUGUUGUUGGGGGUUUACAAUUUCAUCUAAUCCGCUCUCUCUUACAUACUACCCUUGAAAAUUAGUUUGAUUGAUUCAAUUGUUAUGCGACUUUCUUAGCCUCCCCUUAACCCGAUCCCUCGGCGAAAAGGGCCUAAUAUUAACUACUGGCUUGCUAUCCCUAGCCUCCCCUAGUAAUUAAUACCGCAUUAUAAACAAAAGUUAGCGCAAUUGAUCGUCCUACCCG